This 51-nucleotide transfer RNA is filed under the name Salmonella bongori. The record is from RNAcentral. Lineage: Bacteria; Pseudomonadati; Pseudomonadota; Gammaproteobacteria; Enterobacterales; Enterobacteriaceae.
AGGGGAUUGAAAAUCCCCGUGUCCUUGGUUCGAUUCCGAGUCCGGGCACCA